This 405-nucleotide ribosomal RNA is filed under the name uncultured bacterium. Its description in RNAcentral is "partial 16S ribosomal RNA". It matches the Rfam family "Bacterial small subunit ribosomal RNA", at positions 30 to 526 of the family's 1533-position model. The record is from RNAcentral.
AUUGAACGCUAGCGGGAUGCUUUACACAUGCAAGUCGAACGAGUGGCGGACGGGUGAGUAUUAUAUCGGUACGUGCCCAGUAGCUGGGGAUAACUACUCGAAAGCGUGGCUUAUACCUCAUUCUAUUUGAGGGGCCGCUUUCGGAUUAGCUAGUUGGUGGGGUAAAGGCUCACCAAGGCAACGAUCCGUAGCUGGUUUGAGAGGACGACCAGCCACACUGGGACUGAGACACGGCCCAGACUCCUACGGGAGGCAGCAGUGGGGAAUUUGGGACAAUGGGGGAAACCCUGAUCCAGCCAUCCCGCGUGUAUGAGAAGGCCUUCGGGUUGUAAAGUACUUUUGGCAGAGAAGCGGUAUCUGCAGAAGAAGCACCGGCUAACUACGUGCCAGCAGCCGCGGUAAUUC